RNAcentral lists this long non-coding RNA (1002 nucleotides) under Mustela putorius furo (domestic ferret). RNAcentral's name for it is "lncRNA (ENSMPUG00000029026.1)". The record is from RNAcentral. Lineage: Eukaryota; Metazoa; Chordata; Mammalia; Carnivora; Mustelidae.
CCCUUCAGGUCAAGUCCGACCACCUCACCAGUCAUGAAAAUUAUUUUUGUUUUCGAGUUUUGUGAAUUUCAGGAUUGCAGAUCUAAAAUUGCGACAACAGCUACCUUUUGACGCAGGUUUUUGAGAAGUUACAAACUGGCAAAACCAGAUGGCAGGCUUCAAUUCAAACAGUCAAUAUGGAGAAAUAAAAGAAUUUCACCCAAAGAAGGCCAGAUUUCAGGUCCCCCAACACACACAAGGAAGCAAGGAGAGUCAAAGAAUUUUAAGUCACUCGUCCAACAUUCCACAGCUACAAGCCCAGGUCUGGGUUACUCCAGGGCCCAGCUUCCUAAGCUCUGGAGUAUUUUCUCUCCCAUCAACAUUCAGAACAGCCAAUUGGAAAAUGAGGUAAACCCACAGCCCCCACUGCCCACAGGAGGGAAAUGCAAAGAUGAAGGACAAAUAAGGGGGCAGAAAUGUGAGGCCUGGGAGGGAAAAAUUAAUGGGAUGCUGGUGUAUUAUUUCAGUGGCAGAAACAAGAAAGCGGAAAAUGGUUUGCAUAUCAUUUCACUGGGAGCAAAAGAACAGGAUCAAUUACAGCCUCCUUCCGACAUCUUGCAUUCCUCAAAACUUCUACGGAAAGUGAACGGGACGACGUUGUUUUAAUCUUCAUAUCGUGAAGAGGCAGAAGUGGUUAAGGGGUGGGUGCAGAUUCUGCCCCAGAGAGCUUAAAGAAAAUUUUAAAAUCCCAAAUGAUCUCUCAUCUUUCCCACUCAACUCUGGGCACGUAUUUCUAGCAAUUUGCACAUAUUGUUGCGGGGUUUGGUUUUUUUUUUGGGGGGGGGGUCCUCUUCCUUCCCAGUUUCACCCAGAGUGGACUGCAUGCGGACAGGGAACACGGGGCUGGGGAGAAGAAAAGAUGCUCCGUCUCUGGCAGAACUAGGCACUGCCACCUAUGUUUCCUUUUUAUUACGUUUGCGAUGCUCUGCACUCUUGCCACCAGUGGCAAGACUGAGUUUUGUU